GGCCUUGUAUGUCUACACGUGCACACACAUAUGCACACAGGCCUUGUAUGUCUACAGGUGCACAUGCAUUUAGGCCUUGAAUGUUUACAGGUGCACAUGCACAUCCUCACUUCCUGUCUCUGUCACAUUUUGGAAAUUCUCACAAUAUUUUAAACUUUUAUGUUAUUAUAUCAGUUUUGGUGAUCUGUGAUCAGUGAUCUUUGACGUUACUCUUGUAAUUGUUUUGGGGCACCAGGAAUCACACCCAUAUAGGACAGAGAACUUAAGCAAUAACCAUUGUUUGUGUUCUGGCUGCUCCAUUACCUAGUUGUUCCCCAACUCUCUUCCUCUUCUCAGGCCUCCCUAUUCUCUGAAUCACAGCAAUAUCGAAAUUAGGCCAGUUAAUAGCCCUACAAUGGCCUUUAAGUGUUCAAGUGAAAGGAAAAGUUGCACGUCUCUCACUUUAAAGCAAAAUCUAAGAAUGAUUAAGCUGAGCAAGGAAGGAAUAUCAAAAGCUGAGUUAGGCCAAAAGCUAGGUCUCUUGUACCAAAGAGUCAACCAAAUUGUGAAUGUAAAGAAAACAGUUUUGAGGGCAAUUAAAAGUGCUACCUUAGUGAAAACAAGAAUUUUGAGUGAAACAGGCAUAUUGUUGAUAGGGAGGAAGUUUAAAUGCUCUAGAUAGAAGAUCAAACCAUACACAACAUUCCCUUAAGCCAAAACCCAAUGCAGAGAAAGGCCUUAACUCUCUUCAAUUCUAU
Molecule: long non-coding RNA, 737 nt
Filed under: Homo sapiens (human)
Lineage: Eukaryota; Metazoa; Chordata; Mammalia; Primates; Hominidae
Description: HSALNT0083472
Source: RNAcentral